Pipistrellus kuhlii (Kuhl's pipistrelle) is the source of this 877-nucleotide long non-coding RNA. RefSeq lists it as uncharacterized. The transcript has 3 exons. The record is from RefSeq and is a predicted model, not a curated record. NCBI's taxonomy places the organism in Eukaryota, Metazoa, Chordata, Mammalia, Chiroptera, Vespertilionidae.
GUUUCUCUGUCAGAGGAAGGAGGUGUUUUUUUUCUUAAUUAACAUUAAGAAAGAUUACAUACAUGGACCUCACACCUGUGUGUACCUAGAAACAAAUGUUGUUCUUAGGAUUGAAAAAGUCUGACAAUCCUGUGAAAUCUUAAUCUGAAUUGUUUUAGAAGAGGAUGGUUUACUCUAAACUUUCAAAAGCUAAUGACCCUGUCCUUAAAAUCCUCUGAAGUGUAUCAAAACAGAAAAACAUUAAAAUAUUUCUCUGUGCAAAUUUUAUCAGAUAUGUGACUGUAUUCUGUUGUAUUAAAAUGUGAAAUGUGUAUCUUUGUCAUUCAAAAGCAGUUUUAAGCUGGGAAUUGGCAAAAGCAUCAGGAGCUGAGACAAUAUCAGUUGAUAAUGGUACAUGAUUUAAUGAAGUCAUGUUAUACUGAAUAAUCGCAUAUACUUAUGUUUCUCAGUGUAAAUUUUACUUACAUGUGACUAUCAAUACUACCCACCAAUCAAACUGAAAAGUUGCCAUAUUCUUUUAAAUGAUUUAUCCUUUGAGACUACACUAUUUUAAACACUUCUUAAAAUUCACCUAUAUCUGAAACAUCAACGUAAACAUCCAAGUAUUAGCAUAUAAGGUAUAUCCUAUAUGUUGUUGCUACUAACAUCUUGAACUUUACAGCAAAACCUUAUUAAAAACACAAUCUGGAUCAAGUGUAUUUCCCUAUGUGAACUAUGGAACGUUUCUUUCCCUAAAAAAUUCAGAAUGUCUAUAAUGUAAUACCAAUCAUGUAAUGAGGAUCUCCUGAUUUUUAAAAUUACAAGUUUUCCUCCUCCCCCCAUACAUCACACAAGCUUUUAUUCACAUCCCUCAGUUGAAUAAAAAUGAGUUUGACUC